Molecule: long non-coding RNA, 543 nt
Organism: Zalophus californianus (California sea lion)
Lineage: Eukaryota; Metazoa; Chordata; Mammalia; Carnivora; Otariidae
Exons: 4
Source: RefSeq, a predicted model, not a curated record
GGGCGAAGAUGGGUCCCGGCGGCGGUUGCAGGGAGAGGGAAAGCCUCGGAGCCCUAAGGUCUGAUGAUCGUUGAAUUUUCUUUGUCGUAUGUGGGUUGUUUGUUCUUAUCCUUUUGUAUUUCUGUUUUCUGACUUGUAAUGUGAGGAGGUUACUCUCUUCCAAGUCUUACAUCCUAGGAAUUAUGCUUAUGUUUAUUCUCCUGCAAAACACCUAUUGAAGAAGAAAAAAAUCCACCCCAUCAAACCAGAUACCAUGAAUUUUCCUUUUUACUCUGCUGCCCCUGGUCCUGAACAGAACUUUCAGUGUGACACACAAAGCAGGCAUUUAAUGCUGUAAAUUUCCCUCAAAGCACCACUUUUGCUGCAUCCCACACAUUUUGCAUAUGCCUGAGCAACAUUGUGACUGGCUAUGUGUGCAGCAAAAUGUGCUUCCUCACAGCUGUACACAAUGAGGCAGUUAUAAAAACGUUCAUGAAGCCCUGCCUAUAGAGUGAAUUUUUGGAGAAAACCCACUGUUCAUCAAUGGGGCAGUGGGAAUUUAGA